CUCGGAGCUGCCCUCACGGGACGUGAAGGUGCUGCGCUGGGCGACUCGGUCCGAUCCAAGGAACCCGAAUUGUCUGGGGCAGUACGAGAGACUGUGACACUCAGCUGUUCCUACAAUACCAGUGACGUUGCCGGCGUCUCUCUCUUUUGGUACCGCCGGUUUCCCUACCAAGCCCCUCAGUACAUUCUCCGGAGAGGAACAAAAGCAUACAGCGCUUUCACCGAUACUGCGGAUUUCGCCCAGGAGAGGUUUUCCUUUAAGGCUGCUGACAGCUCCACAGUUCUGAACAUCACAGCGCUGGAGCUGGAGGACACCGCGGUGUAUCUCUGCGCCCUGCAGCGCGCACAGUGA
Mauremys reevesii (Reeves's turtle) is the source of this 351-nucleotide non-coding RNA. NCBI's taxonomy places the organism in Eukaryota, Metazoa, Chordata, Testudines, Geoemydidae. The record is from the annotation of a RefSeq genome assembly.